CCUACGGGAGGCAGCAGUGAGGAAUAUUGGUCAAUGGACGAGAGUCUGAACCAGCCAAGUAGCGUGAAGGAUGACUGCCCUAUGGGUUGUAAACUUCUUUUAUAUGGGAAUAAAAUGUUCCACGUGUGGGAUUUUGUAUGUACCAUAUGAACAAGGAUCGGCUAACUCCGUGCCAGCAGCCGCGGUAAUACGGAGGAUUCGAGCGUUAUCCGGAUUUAUUGGGUGUAAAGGGAGCGUAGGUGGAUUGUUAAGUCGGGUGUGAAAGUUUGCGGCUCAACCGUAAAAUUGCAGUUGAAACUGGCAGUCUUGAGUACAGGAGAGGUGGGCGGAAUUCGUGGUGUAGCGGUGAAAUGCUUAGAUAUCACGAAGAACUCCGAUUGCGAAGGCAGUUCACUGGACUGCAACUGACACUGAGGCUCGAAAGUGUGGGUAUCAAACAGGAUUAGAUACCCUUGUAGUC
This 460-nucleotide ribosomal RNA is filed under the name uncultured bacterium. RNAcentral's name for it is "partial 16S ribosomal RNA". It matches the Rfam family "Bacterial small subunit ribosomal RNA", at positions 338 to 795 of the family's 1533-position model. The record is from RNAcentral.